GUUAAGUGCCCCGCCUGGGAAGUACGGUCGCAAGACUAAAACUCAAAGGAAUAGACGGGAGCUUGCACAAGCGGUGGAGCGUCUGGUUUAAUUCGACGAUAAGCGAAGAACCUUACCAGGAUUUGAAAUUCUAGUGAAACCCCGAUGAAAGUCGGGUCUUCUACAAGGACACUAGAACAGGUGCUGCAUGGUUGUCGUCAGCUUGUGGCGUGAGUUGCUCCGUUAAGUCGGGUAACAAGCGCAACCCUCGUUCUGCGUUACAAGUGUCGCAGGAGACUGCCUCAUUAUAUGAGGAGGAAGGCGAGGAUGACGCCAAAUCAGCAUGGCCCUUUGAUAUCCUGGGCAACACAGGCGCUACAAUGGCCGAUACAAUGGGUCGCUAAGUCGUAAGAUGGAGCCAAUCCCAUGCAAAGUCGGUCCCAGUUCGGAUUGAGGUCUGAAAUUCGACCUCAUGAAGCCGGAAUCGCUAGUAAUCGCGGAUCAGCUACGCCGCGGUGAAUACGUUCUCAAGCUUUGUACUCACCGCCUGUCACGCCAGAGAAGCCGGAAGCACCCGACGUCUCCCGAUUUAUCGGGAUCCUAAGGUGAGUUCGGUGACUAGGGCGAAGUCAUAACAAGGCAUCCGUAGGGGAACCUGUGGAUGGAAAUAUUUUUAC
Molecule: non-coding RNA, 656 nt
Organism: Candidatus Portnoybacteria bacterium RBG_13_40_8
Lineage: Bacteria; Candidatus Portnoyibacteriota
Source: Rfam